AAGAAGAAAAUCGGCUAAGGAAAAAAAUAGGGAGAAAAUUAAAAUCUUGCUCCAAAAAAUAUUUUCUCCUAGUAUUCCUACUAAUUCAAGGAUCCUCUACAACAUGAUGAAGUUAUUUUGGAAGAUAGGAGCCUUGUUUGGUUAAUUGGGUGUCUUGGUGAAGUGAAGAAGUUGAAAGGAAAAGAUUUUGGAGGAAACGGGAAUUGAACUUGGACAACCGUAAAAGGCCAAAAAGUUUCUCACUACUCCACUCGUGGAUGCCUCAAUGCUUCUUUCACUGAGCCUGAGCCAGGAUAUGUUUUCGUGCGUAUUUCUCUGCAUUGUUCGCCGUGUCCCGACGUGAGGGGGAAGGUAUGACAUGUACAUGGGGUGGUAAAUGUUAUGCCACGGAGUUAUGCUGUGCCAUGUACAUAUAUGUUUGUGAUAUGAUAUGAUUUGAUAUGACCAUCUGAUAUGAUAUGAUUUGUUACGGAGAUAUUCCCUACUCUGGUGUUAUGCUGUGCCGUGGUGCCGCUGAUGGGAGGGCAACCACACUUUGUUCACCGAGUCCCAUGACAUGGGGCCGGAUAUGGCAUAUGUAUUUGCAUAUAUGAUUUGGGAUUAUGAUAAGUAUUUUGAAAUUCUGAACAUUUAUUUUGUUUUCUGCACAUACUAUUCCGAUUAUGAUUUUAAUUUAUUACAAUUCAUGCUUUACAUAUUCAGUACAUUUUUCGUACUGACCCCUUUUCUUCGGGGGGGCUGCGUUACAUGCCCGCAGGUACCGACGUUCGUUUUGCUGAGCCGCCUGUUUAGGACAUCUGCUGUGUUAUUGACAGUGCUCCCUUGUUCGGAGCUUGUAUUUUGGUAUUGACUCUAUCUCUGUAUAUUUGGAUAUGUUGGUCAGGGGUACGACGGGGCCCUGUCCCGUCUUAUGACUAUGCUAUCAUCUGUAGAGGUCUGUAGACAGAUUUAUGUUGUGGGUUUUGUAUAUAUGGUUUGGGUUUUGUGUGUUUUGUGACGGCCUAUCAGCCCUCGUGCCUACAUCUAUUUUUUUUGA
Molecule: long non-coding RNA, 1036 nt
Organism: Solanum dulcamara
Lineage: Eukaryota; Viridiplantae; Streptophyta; Magnoliopsida; Solanales; Solanaceae
Exons: 3
Source: RefSeq, a predicted model, not a curated record